UUUAAAAUUAUAAAUUAUAAUUUUUCUCAUUAAAAUUGUUUUUAGGUUUUACUUUUGUCUUUUAAGCUUGUGUUCUAUUUUUUUCCUCUUAAGAUACAAAAUUUAGAUACUUUAAUCUAUAAAUACAAAGAGAAUUUCAUAUAUUUAAGUUGGCUAGAUUAUACUUUUAUUCCACUGACUUAUUUAUAGAUUUUAAAUUUAUUCUUUAAUUUUUUUUUUCAUUUUAAAUGUUAGAUAUUUUAGCUCUUUUUCUUCGAUACUCGAUUUAAAUGAAUAUAAUAUGUUAUACUACCUUUG
This 297-nucleotide long non-coding RNA is filed under the name Lathyrus oleraceus (garden pea). RNAcentral's name for it is "Pisum sativum (pea) long non-coding RNA (PSAT_LNC010296)". The record is from RNAcentral. Lineage: Eukaryota; Viridiplantae; Streptophyta; Magnoliopsida; Fabales; Fabaceae.